AUUGGUCCUAGUCCUCUUCUAGUUUUGCCUAAACCGAUCCAUGCAAGUUAAUUCCACCAGUGAGUAAAUAAAGUCAUUCUCAAAGAAAUACUUUUACAAAAUGGUAUCAGAAAUUUUUUUAAUUCCAAGACACCCAGCCCCCCACACCUGCAGUACCUGACAUACACAAUAAGCAAAAGCUUGAUGUAGUUAUAGACUAAAGAGUUGGUUAAUUAUGUGCCAGCCACCGCGGUUAUACAUAAAACUCAUACUAAGAAACUUACAUCGGUCUAAAAGUGAUUAAGGUGUAACUACUUAAGGUGAAAAACAACUCCAGUACUAACAAGCUUCUACAGUAAACUAACAACUAAACAAAACUUACCUUAUAAAUCCCCACCUGAACCACUAAAGCUCAAAAAUAAACUGGGAUUAGAUACCCCACUAUAUGAGCCGUAAAAAUCAAAAACACCCAGAGAA
This 456-nucleotide ribosomal RNA is filed under the name Astropecten vappa. Its description in RNAcentral is "partial 12S ribosomal RNA". Lineage: Eukaryota; Metazoa; Echinodermata; Asteroidea; Paxillosida; Astropectinidae. The record is from RNAcentral.